GACGAACGCUGGCGGCGUGCUUAACACAUGCAAGUCGAACGGUAAGGCCCUUCGGGGUACACGAGUGGCGAACGGGUGAGUAACACGUGGGUAAUCUGCCCUGCACAUCGGGAUAAGCCUGGGAAACUGGGUCUAAUACCGAAUAGGACCACAGGACACAUGUCCUGUGGUGGAAAGCUUUUUCGGUGUGGGAUGGGCCCGCGGCCUAUCAGCUUGUUGGUGGGGUGAUGGCCUACCAAGGCGACGACGGGUAGCCGGCCUGAGAGGGUGUCCGGCCACACUGGGACUGAGAUACGGCCCAGACUCCUACGGGAGGCAGCAGUGGGGAAUAUUGCACAAUGGGCGAAAGCCUGAUGCAGCGACGCCGCGUGGGGGAUGACGGCCUUCGGGUUGUAAACCUCUUUCACCAUCGACGAAGGUCCGGGUUUUCUCGGGCUGACGGUAGGUGGAGAAGAAGCACCGGCCAACUACGUG
Molecule: ribosomal RNA, 474 nt
Filed under: uncultured bacterium
Lineage: Bacteria
Description: partial 16S ribosomal RNA
Rfam family: Bacterial small subunit ribosomal RNA
Source: RNAcentral